This 114-nucleotide ribosomal RNA is filed under the name Pteropus alecto (black flying fox). Lineage: Eukaryota; Metazoa; Chordata; Mammalia; Chiroptera; Pteropodidae. The record is from RNAcentral.
GUCUAUGGCCAUGCUACCCUGAACAAGCCUGAUCCCGUCUGAUCUUGGAAGCUAAGCAGGGUCAGGCCUGGUACUAACUUGGAGACCACCUACGGAGACCACGUGCUGUAGGCG